UGCUACAAUGGCGUAAACAAAGGGAAGCGGGAGGGCGACCUUAAGCAAAACCCAAAAAUAACGUCCCAGUUCGGAUUGUAGUCUGCAACCCGACUACAUGAAGCUGGAAUCGCUAGUGAUCGCGGAUCAGAAUGCCGCGGUGAAUACGUUCCCGGGUCUUGUACACACCGCCCGUCACACCAUGGGAGCCGGGAAUGCCCGAAGUCGGUGGCCUAACCGAAAGGGGGGAGCCGCCGAAGGCAGGCCUGGUAACUGGGGUGAAGUCGUAACAAGGUACC
RNAcentral lists this ribosomal RNA (278 nucleotides) under uncultured bacterium. RNAcentral describes it as "partial 16S ribosomal RNA". It matches the Rfam family "Bacterial small subunit ribosomal RNA", at positions 1223 to 1500 of the family's 1533-position model. The record is from RNAcentral.